Molecule: ribosomal RNA, 1048 nt
Filed under: Morosphaeria velatispora
Lineage: Eukaryota; Fungi; Ascomycota; Dothideomycetes; Pleosporales; Morosphaeriaceae
Description: SSU rRNA
Rfam family: Eukaryotic small subunit ribosomal RNA
Source: RNAcentral
UGAGCUAGUAUAGCACUUAUACCGUGCAACUCGCGAAUGGCUCAUUAAAUCAGUUAUCGUUUAUUUGAUAGUACCUUACUACUUGGAUAACCGUGGUAAUUCUAGAGCUAAUACAUGCUGAAAACCUCGACUUCGGAAGGGGUGUAUUUAUUAGAUAAAAAACCAAUGCCCCUUGGGGCUCCUUGGUGAUUCAUGAUAAUUUUUCAGAUCGCAUGGCCUUGUGCCGGCGACGGUUCAUUCAAAUUUCUGCCCUAUCAACUUUCGAUGGUAAGGUAUUGGCUUACCAUGGUUUCAACGGGUAACGGGGAAUUAGGGUUCGAUUCCGGAGAAGGAGCCUGAGAGACGGCUACUACAUCCAAGGAAGGCAGCAGGCGCGCAAAUUACCCAAUCCCGACACGGGGAGGUAGUGACAAUAAAUACUGAUACAGGGCUCUUUUGGGUCUUGUAAUUGGAAUGAGUACAAUUUAAACCUCUUAACGAGGAACAAUUGGAGGGCAAGUCUGGUGCCAGCAGCCGCGGUAAUUCCAGCUCCAAUAGCGUAUAUUAAAGUUGUUGCAGUUAAAAAGCUCGUAGUUGAACCUUGGGCCUGGCUGGCAGGUCCGCCUCACCGCGUGUACUUGACCGGCCGGGCCUUCUCUUCUGGAGAACCUCAUGCCCUUUACUGGGCGUGUUGGGGACCAGGACUUUUACUUUGAAAAAAUUAGAGUGUUCAAAGCAGGCCUUUGCUCGAAUAUGUUAGCAUGGAAUAAUAGAAUAGGACGUGCGAUCCUAUUUUGUUGGUUUCUAGGACCGCCGUAAUGAUUAAUAGGGACAGUCGGGGGCAUCAGUAUUCAAUUGUCAGAGGUGAAAUUCUUGGAUUUAUUGAAGACUAACUACUGCGAAAGCAUUUGCCAAGGAUGUUUUCAUUAAUCAGUGAACGAAAGUUAGGGGAUCGAAGACGAUCAGAUACCGUCGUAGUCUUAACCAUAAACUAUGCCGACUAGGGAUCGGGCGGUGUUUCAAAAUUGACUCGCUCGGCACCUUACGAGAAAUCAAAGUGUUUGGGUUC